UAAUACGUGUUUUAUGGCACUUUUUAAAUCCAUAUCCACCUUGUGUGCAAUGUCAGUCGAUCUUCUUCAUGGAGAUCGACCAAACAUCAACCUUUAUUUUUUUACUCUUUGUCUGAAAAAUAUUAUGAAUAAACAAUUCAAAAUA
Molecule: unclassified non-coding RNA, 145 nt
Filed under: soil metagenome
Description: partial internal transcribed spacer 1
Source: RNAcentral